Molecule: RNA transcript, 1420 nt
Organism: Apis florea (little honeybee)
Lineage: Eukaryota; Metazoa; Arthropoda; Insecta; Hymenoptera; Apidae
Gene name: malate dehydrogenase, cytoplasmic
Source: RefSeq, a predicted model, not a curated record
UGCUAUGAUUAAUAUCGAUAUUCAUUUAAUAAACGAUACAAAAAACAACAUGAAUUUAGAAAAGAAUGAAUAUAUGGUUAAUAAUUACUUACAUCAAUUAUUUAAAAAUAAAGUUUUGAAAAUAGUAGUUACAGAUGGCACAACGGAAAUUACUCGAUCGUUUCUAUACAGAAUACUCACUGAUGAUGUGUUCGGAAAAAAUCAAUGUAUUUUUGUCAGUCUUUACGAAUUAUCGACCAAGACAAUGUUUUUGGAAAGCCUUGCAAUUGAAUUAAAUUCCUUUAGUCCUAAGCUUUUAAGCGGUAUCAGUUACAGCAAUAAUGUUUUCGAAUUCAAAGAUGCAGAUGUUGUAAUUUGCAUUGGUCAUUCGAGAGAAUAUGAUUUCAAAGAGCCCGAAUAUACAGAAUCAUUUUUUAAGGAUUAUGUUCUUAUUUCCAAAUUUUAUGGUCAAAUUAUAAAUAACUAUGUGAAAAAGGAUGCAAGAAUUAUUGUACUCGGAAAUACUGCUGCCACGAUUAUAUCCAAAUAUGCGAAAUCUAUUCCUGUUAAAAAUAUAACUACUUUGUCCAUGCUUAAUUUAAAUAUUGUUAAAACUCAGAUUGCCGCACGAGCAAAUUGUCUUCCAACGGAAGUGAAAAAUAUAAUAAUUUGGGGUUCAAAUGGAAGAUAUUGUUUUCCAGAUUGUAGAUAUUUACAUUUAACCAAUGGAAAACCUUUGAAAGAUUCUUUAAAAGUGUGGAUAUCUAAUGAUCUUCCACGUAUUACUCAAAGUAUCAACAAUAGAUCAUGCUUAAUUAAUUCCAUAGCUUAUGCAUUAGCAGAGCACUGUAAAAUCUUAUGGAAUGGUACUCCAGAAAAUGAAUGGACUAGUAUGGGUGUACUAUCCGAUCUUUCUUAUUCAAUUCGAUCUGGAAUAUUUUUUUCUUUUCCUGUAAUUUGUAAGGACAAACAAUGUGAAAUUAUAAAGGAUUUUGAAUUAGAUGAAUAUGUUAAAAAAUACAUUGUGGAUUUAAGUAGAUUAAUUUUUAGAGAAAUUCAAAUUGCUCUUGAAAUUUGUGACUCGAUAUCAUAUGAUGAUUAUUAAGGUAUAUAAGAUUACGAAGCAUCGAUUAUUUGUGCAUCGUUACCAUUAUUAUAUUUUUACACACAACUUUUUUCAUUAAAAUUUUUACGGAUCUUUCUUGUUUAUUUGAAAUUCUUUUUAUAUAAUUAAUUGAAAUAUAUAAUAAUUGAAAUGAAUCGAAAAUGAUGGAUAUGUCAAUUUUCAUAGAAAGAAAUUCAAAUGGCACCGCAAGCAGCGAGAGUACUAGCUACGUAUACCACCGCCGUAGUAGUUCCAGAUUUGCUAACAAUUGUUCCGAGACAGCAGGAGAGUAGGAACUGGGCUAAAAACACCAUGGAAGAGACGAUUGCAACGUCU